AGUUUGAUUAUGGCUCAGAUUGAACGCUGGCGGGAUGCUUUACACAUGCAAGUCGAACGGCAGCACGGACUUCGGUCUGGUGGCGAGUGGCGAACGGGUGAGUAAUGUAUCGGGAACGUGCUCUAGUAGCGGGGAUAACUACGCGAAAGCGUAGCUAAUACUGCAUACGCCCUUCGGGGGAAAGCGGGGGACCUUCGCCUCGCACUAUUAGAGCGGCCGAUAUCGGAUUAGCUAGCUGGUGGGGUAACGGCUCACCAAGGCGACGAUCCGUAGCUGGUUUGAGAGGACGACCAGCCACACUGGGACUGAGACACGGCCCAGACUCCUACGGAGGCAGCAGUGGGGAAUUUUGGACAAUGGGGAAACCCUGAUCCAGCCAUCCUGCGUGUGCGAUGAAGGCCUUCGGGUUGUAAAGCACUUUUGGCAGGAAAAGAAACGGCACGGGAUAAUACCCCGUGCAACUGACGGUACCCGCAGAAUAAGCACCGGCUAACUACGUGCCAGCAGCCGCGGUAAUACGUAGGGUGCAAGCGUUAAUCGGAAUUACUGGGCGUAAAGCGUGCGCAGGCGGUUCGAAAGAAAGAUGUGGAAUCCCAGAGCUUAACUUUGGAACUGCAUUUUUAACUACCGAGCUAGAGUGUGUCAGAGGGAGGUGGGAAUUCCGCGUGUAGCAGUGAAAUGCGUAGAUAUGUGAGGAACACCGAUGGCGAAGGCAGCCCCUGGGAUAACACUGACGCUCAUGCACGAAAGCGUGGGGAGCAAACAGGAUUAGAUACCCUGGUAGUCCACGCCCUAAACGAUGUCAACUAGGCCGUUGGGGCCUCGGGCCUGGUAGCGCAGCUAACGCGUGAAGUUGACCGCCUGGGAGUACGGUCGCAAGAUUAAACUCAAAGGAAUUGACGGGACUCCGCACAAGCGGUGGAUGAUGUAUGUGGAUUAAUUCGAUGCAACGCGAAAACCUUACCUACCCUUGACAUGUCUGGAAUCCCGAAGAUUUGGGAGUGCUCGCAAGAGAACCGGAACACAGGUGCUGCAUGGCUGUCGUCAGCUCGUGUCGUGAGAUGUUGGGUUAAGUCCCGCAACGAGCGCAACCCUUGUCAUUAGUUGCUACGAAAGGGCACUCUAUCGAGACUGCCGGUGACAAACCGGAGGAAGGUGGGGACGACGUCAAGUCCCUUCAUGGCCCUUAUGGGUAGGGCUUCACACGUCAUACAAUGGUCGACAGAGGGUCGCCAACCCGCGAGGGGGAGCCAAUCCCAGAAACCUGAUCGUAGUCCGAAAUCGCAGUCUGCAACUCGACUGCGUGAAGUCGGAAUCGCUAGUAAUCGCGGAUCAGCAUGUCGCGGUGAAUACGUUCCCGGGUCUUGUACACACCGCCCGUCACACCAUGGGAGUGGGUUUGCACGAAGUAGUUAGCCUAACCGUAAGGAGGGCGACGCCACGUAGGAUUCAUGACUGGGGUGAAGUCGUAAAUAUGGGUAA
RNAcentral lists this ribosomal RNA (1482 nucleotides) under uncultured Bordetella sp. Its description in RNAcentral is "partial 16S-23S ribosomal RNA intergenic spacer". It matches the Rfam family "Bacterial small subunit ribosomal RNA". The record is from RNAcentral. Lineage: Bacteria; Pseudomonadati; Pseudomonadota; Betaproteobacteria; Burkholderiales; Alcaligenaceae.